Long non-coding RNA from Empidonax traillii (willow flycatcher), 477 nucleotides. RefSeq lists it as uncharacterized. The record is from RefSeq and is a predicted model, not a curated record. Lineage: Eukaryota; Metazoa; Chordata; Aves; Passeriformes; Tyrannidae. The transcript has 3 exons.
CAGCUCCUGGACUUCAGCUAAUUGCACCAUUCCCUUGGAGGAGUGUUGCCUCUCCCAAGUUUCCCGGUGAGGAGCUGGUCUGUGAGCUAUUCCGUGGUUUCUUACAUCAUUCCUGCGUUCCCAGCCCUGCCACUCGACCGCAAGGCUUUCAGAAGGGUGUGCAAUGGCCCAUCCUUCCUUCUGGCAGUGCUUCCCAGAUCCCAAAAACACGGAGCAGGGGAUAAACUUGAGCAAUGUGUUUUCCAAAUAGACUAUGGGAAAAAAAAAAAAUUAAAGGGAAGUGUGAAGCCUCCUCCAGCUCCUCCUGUCGUUUUGGGCAUGCUUGUGCCACGUGUCAGGACAAACAGAGGAGACAUCUGGAACGGGUUCAUGAAAGUUCCUCUGCCUGGUUCAGCUCCUGGUCACACGGAGUUUUCCUGGCACAAACGAGUGGAAAGAGCACUUUGGCAUGGAGGGGAAAUGAGCAGCAGAGGGUGA